GGGUCCUUAGCUCAUCUAGAGCAUUUGACUGCAGAUCAAGAGGUCACCAGUUUGAACUUGGUAGGAUCA
This 69-nucleotide transfer RNA is filed under the name Capsicum annuum. It matches the Rfam family "tRNA". Rfam says of the family: Transfer RNA (tRNA) molecules are approximately 80 nucleotides in length. Their secondary structure includes four short double-helical elements and three loops (D, anti-codon, and T loops). Further hydrogen bonds mediate the characteristic L-shaped molecular structure. tRNAs have two regions of fundamental functional importance: the anti-codon, which is responsible for specific mRNA codon recognition, and the 3' end, to which the tRNAs corresponding amino acid is attached (by aminoacyl-tRNA synthetases). tRNAs cope with the degeneracy of the genetic code in two manners: having more than one tRNA (with a specific anti-codon) for a particular amino acid; and 'wobble' base-pairing, i.e. permitting non-standard base-pairing at the 3rd anti-codon position. Lineage: Eukaryota; Viridiplantae; Streptophyta; Magnoliopsida; Solanales; Solanaceae. The record is from Rfam by way of RNAcentral.